UACGUAGGCAGCGAGCGUUGUUCGGAAUUACUGGGCGUAAAGAGUGUGUAGGCGGUGCUCUAAGUUCGGUGUGAAAUCUCCCGGCUUAACUGGGAGGGUGCGCUAUAGACUGUGGGACUAGAGUGUGGGAGAGGAAAGUGGAAUUCCUGGUGUAGCGGUGAAAUGCGUAGAUAUCAGGAGGAACACCGGUGGUGUAAACGGCUUUCUGGACCAUAACUGACGCUGAGGCACGAAAGCGUGGGUAGCAAACAGG
This 253-nucleotide ribosomal RNA is filed under the name uncultured bacterium. Its description in RNAcentral is "partial 16S ribosomal RNA". It matches the Rfam family "Bacterial small subunit ribosomal RNA", at positions 524 to 776 of the family's 1533-position model. The record is from RNAcentral.